Long non-coding RNA from Amphimedon queenslandica, 678 nucleotides. RefSeq lists it as uncharacterized. Lineage: Eukaryota; Metazoa; Porifera; Demospongiae; Haplosclerida; Niphatidae. The record is from RefSeq and is a predicted model, not a curated record. The transcript is spliced from 3 exons.
UACUAUCAUCAUUAUCUUACUCUUUUUAUGAGGAAAAUAAGGAACUAAGGGAAGUGUUUGAACAUUGACCAGCCACCUUGUGGAUCCACAUGUUUGUAGUAUCAUAGAUAUGUAAUAUUUACAAACAUAUCUUACAAGUGUGAGAAAGCGAUAGAAACUAAUAUCACAAAAACACAGUCAAUGCAACUGGAAUUAAAACAGAAAAAACAGUAUUAUGAAUCUCAGACAAAGCAGAGAUUGUUCUAUUCUGAGAGGAUGAGAGCACACAAAAAGAAAGUACUUGAGUUUUGAAUAAACUGGCAGUGACACAAGAACUAAUGGAAGCAAAAACUACCUGGGAAGAAGCAAAGGACAAGUGUAUGAGGAGAGAGAUUUUUAAAAGCAAUGCUUUGUUAUUAUGGUGAUAUGUUUCUCCAAAUUUUUAGUUGGCGAUUCCAAACUGAUAGCUAAUGACAUUGAUUAUGUGGACCAGAGAUUAAAUGAAAUCAAUCAUAAAAUAACCGAAAAAGUUGACCAAAAGAAGCAAACAGAGAAAGGCAUUCAAACAAUGAGAAAUGAGAUCCAAGGUCUGACAGAAAGCAAUAAUAAGCUGGUGAAUCAACUUGAAGUAUUGCGCAAGAGGCGACAGGCUCGUCUAGUGAGAAGGAGACACCAGUCCAUGAGGGAAGACAAAGGAAC